AUUGAACGCUGGCGGCAGGCCUAACACAUGCAAGUCGAGCGGAUGAAGGGAGCUUGCUCCUGGAUUCAGCGUCGGACGGGUGAGUAAUGCCUAGGAAUCUGCCUGGUAGUGGUUGAUAACGUCCGGAAACGGGCGCUAAUACCGCAUACUUCCUGAGGGAGAAAGUGGGGGAUCUUCGGACCUCACGCUAUCAGAGGAGCCUAGGUCGGAUUAGCUAGUUGGUGGGUUAAAGGCCUACCUAGGCGACGAUCCGUAACUGGUCUGAGUGGAUGAUAAGUCACACUGGAACUGAGACACGGUCCAGACUACUACGGGAGGCAGCAGUGGGGAAUAUUGGACAAUAGGCGAAAGCCUGAUACAGUCAUGCCGAGUGUGUGGAGACGGUCUUCCGAUUGUAAAGCACUUCAAGUUGGGAGGAAGGGCAGUAAGUUAAUACCUUGCUGUUUUGACGUUACCAACAGAAUAAGCACCGGCUAACUUCGUG
Molecule: ribosomal RNA, 484 nt
Filed under: uncultured bacterium
Lineage: Bacteria
Description: partial 16S ribosomal RNA
Rfam family: Bacterial small subunit ribosomal RNA
Source: RNAcentral